AUGGUUAAGUUAGAAAGGGCGCACGGUGAAUGCCUUGGCACUAGGAGCCGAUGAAGGACGGGACUAACACCGAUAUGCUUCGGGGAGCUGUAAGUGAGCUUUGAUCCGGAGAUUUCCGAAUGGGGAAACCCACUGUUCGUAAUGGAGCAGUAUCUUUAUCUGAAUACAUAGGAUAUUGAAGGCAGACCCGGGGAACUGAAACAUCUAAGUACCCGGAGGAAGAGAAAGCAAAUGCGAUUUCCUGAGUAGCGGCGAGCGAAACGGAAUUAGCCCAAACCAAGAGGCUUGCCUCUUGGGGUUGUAGGACACUCUAUAUGGAGUUACAAAGGAACGAAGUAAAUGAAGCGACCUGGAAAGGUCCGUCAAAGAAGGUAACAACCCUGUAGUUGAAACUUCGUUCCCUCUUGAGUGGAUCCUGAGUACGGCGGAACACGUGAAAUUCCGUCGGAAGCUGGGAGGACCAUCUCCCAAGGCUAAAUACUACCUAGUGACCGAUAGUGAACCAGUACCGUGAGGGAAAGGUGAAAAGCACCCCGGAAGGGGAGUGAAAGAGAUCCUGAAACCGUGUGCCUACAAGUAGUCAGAGCCCGUUAAUGGGUGAUGGCGUGCCUUUUGUAGAAUGAACCGGCGAGUUACGAUCUCAUGCAAGGUUAAGCUGAUAAGGCGGAGCCGUAGCGAAAGCGAGUCUGAAUAGGGCGUUUAGUAUGUGGUUGUAGACCCGAAACCAGGUGAUCUACCCAUGUCCAGGGUGAAGUUCAGGUAACACUGAAUGGAGGCCCGAACCCACGCACGUUGAAAAGUGCGGGGAUGAGGUGUGGGUAGCGGAGAAAUUCCAAUCGAACCUGGAGAUAGCUGGUUCUCUCCGAAAUAGCUUUAGGGCUAGCCUCAUGUUGUGAGAGUCUUGG
Molecule: ribosomal RNA, 905 nt
Filed under: Priestia megaterium
Lineage: Bacteria; Bacillati; Bacillota; Bacilli; Caryophanales; Bacillaceae
Description: bacterial LSU rRNA
Rfam family: Bacterial large subunit ribosomal RNA
Source: RNAcentral